This 45-nucleotide non-coding RNA is filed under the name Schistosoma curassoni. The record is from RNAcentral. Lineage: Eukaryota; Metazoa; Platyhelminthes; Trematoda; Strigeidida; Schistosomatidae.
ACCCAGCUGACGAGUCCCAAGUAGGACGAAACGUGCGUCCUGGAU